This 254-nucleotide unclassified non-coding RNA is filed under the name uncultured Gemmatimonadota bacterium. RNAcentral describes it as "uncultured Gemmatimonadetes bacterium contains 16S-23S intergenic spacer region". It matches the Rfam family "Bacterial small subunit ribosomal RNA", at positions 524 to 776 of the family's 1533-position model. The record is from RNAcentral. Lineage: Bacteria; Pseudomonadati; Gemmatimonadota.
UACGGAGGGAGCGAGCGUUGUUCGGAAUUACUGGGCGUAAAGGGCGCGUAGGCGGCCUUGUAAGUCGGAUGUGAAAUGCCGGGGCUCAACUCCGAGCACUGCAUCCGAUACUGCAUGGCUAGAGAGAGGUAGAGGCGAGCGGAAUUCCCGGUGUAGCGGUGGAAUGCGUAGAUAUCGGGAAGAACACCUGUGGCGAAGGCGGCUCGCUGGGCCUUUUCUGACGCUGAAGCGCGAAAGCGUGGGGAGCAAACAGG